GGCAGCCCCCGGGCGCUACUGCUGAGCCUGGCGGCGCAUAGGCAGGAGGAGCUGAGCUCUCCCUUCCCGCCCAGGGGCUGGUACUGCAGGGAGUCCGGCCCGGCUCUGGCGGUGCGCCACUGGGCUCCUCGCCCACUGUCCCUGCACGGAGCAGGCCGCCAGCAAGGCCUCGGACCGGGUCGCGCUGCCCGCCUGGCCCUGCAGCUCGGGGAGACCCAUGCCCUGCUGCGGAGCUGGCACCCGGGCCUCUGUGCUGGAAGGUGCCCCCCUCCCCCGUCGGAAAGGGCAAGGCCCGCUGCCCCCCGCACCCAGCCGAGCGAGGAGGGGAUGCCUGCCAAGGUCAAAAGCUAAAGGGGGUUAAAAAGAAACUCUCUAUGGCAGGUUAUUCCAUAACUAUAUUCUGAACGUUUUUCUGUAUCUUCCUAUGAGGCACGUGGGAUGGCACGUGAAAAACAGAGAGUUGCUGUGAAUUCUCACUCGCUGCUGAACAGAGGAAGCAAUUUUCAUAGAUGCCUUCUUUACAAGGGACCUUUCCACAGCUCCAGGUUUCCAUAGCAACAGCUGUGCAUCCUCUCCACCAGUCAACAAAGAAUCAUCUGUCAUGUUCCAGUAGAAUGAGCGAACUGCAGCAGAAUGCCCUCCAUGAAGGGUGCCCACAAGGCUCAGUCCAUCAAUGCCACAGUUUAUUAGGUGAAUGUUUCCCAUAGCUGUUCCACCAACAAAAAACAAUUUGUCUGCCUUUUCAUGGUACAAGCCACCUAUCAGAUAGUUUAAGUUGCUAUUUUCAAUGAAGACUACUUCUCUGACAUCUUGAAUCUGCAACAAUGUCAUUGGUUCCUCCGUAUCUAUUUGAGUAAGAUCCCACCAACAAAAUCCUUCCGUAUGUGUCAUGCAAUAUACCUGUUUAUAAUCUUUCCCAGACCAACCAAUAAAACUUACUGAUGAAUUUGAA
Chrysemys picta bellii (western painted turtle) is the source of this 952-nucleotide non-coding RNA. The record is from RefSeq and is a predicted model, not a curated record. NCBI's taxonomy places the organism in Eukaryota, Metazoa, Chordata, Testudines, Emydidae.